CAUUUAAAGAAGUUGAGACGUGUGCUACUAAAAUUGGAACGAUACAGAGAUUAGCACGGCCCCUAUGCAAGGAUGACAUGCAAAUUCGUGAAGCGUGCCAUAUUUAA
Molecule: small nuclear RNA, 107 nt
Organism: Mus pahari (shrew mouse)
Lineage: Eukaryota; Metazoa; Chordata; Mammalia; Rodentia; Muridae
Source: RefSeq, a predicted model, not a curated record